Molecule: long non-coding RNA, 455 nt
Organism: Phragmites australis (common reed)
Lineage: Eukaryota; Viridiplantae; Streptophyta; Magnoliopsida; Poales; Poaceae
Exons: 2
Source: RefSeq, a predicted model, not a curated record
CCAGUCGAUCACAUACACCCUACCUCCUUAUCCCCUUGUUGCUACUACCAUGGCCCUCCCCUUGCUGCUGCCUACUACUGCCUGUGGUUGCUGCUACUCCCCCUUCCCCCUGCUGCAGUCCAAAGGAGAGGAGAAGGAGAGGGAGGAGAAGACAAGGUGCAGCAAGGAGAGAAGAGAAGGAGAGGGAAGGGAGAGAGAAGAAAGGAGGUGGACUCCUAGCCCUAGGUUGUUCUUCUGAAAGCGAGCAAGGAAGGAAUGAGUUAGCAACACAUCAUCCACUUUUGCACCAUCACAAAUAAUUUAGAGUGGUGUUGUAAUAAUAAAGUAAUAGUUGAUGGUGUCGUUGCUUGAUAGUUUUAAUAAUUCCCUAGAGCAAUUAAGCUCUUGUUCUUUUAUUGCUAGGAUGUUUAAGUGUUAGUUUGCUGGUUUAUUAAAAAAAGUGUCUGUUGGUUGCU